UACGGAAGGCAGCAGUGGGGAAUAUUGCACAAUGGGCGCAAGCCUGAUGCAGCCAUGCCGCGUGUAUGAAGAAGGCCUUCGGGUUGUAAAGUACUUUCAGUCGUGAGGAAGGUGUUAAGGUUAAUAACCUUGCAAUUGACGUUAGCGACAGAAGAAGCACCGGCUAACUCCGUGCCAGCAGCCGCGGUAAUACGGAGGGUGCGAGCGUUAAUCGGAAUUACUGGGCGUAAAGGGCACGCAGGCGGUUAAUUAAGUUGGAUGUGAAAUCCCCGGGCUUAACCUGGGAAUGGCAUUCAAGACUGGUUAGCUAGAGUCUUGUAGAGGGGGUAGAAUUCCAUGUGUAGCGGUGAAAUGCGUAGAGAUGUGGAGGAAUGCCGGUGGCGAAGGCGGCCCCUGGACAAAGACUGACGCUCAUGUGCGAAAGCGUGGGGAGCAAACAGGGAUUAGAUACC
This 452-nucleotide ribosomal RNA is filed under the name uncultured bacterium. RNAcentral's name for it is "bacterial SSU rRNA". It matches the Rfam family "Bacterial small subunit ribosomal RNA", at positions 340 to 786 of the family's 1533-position model. The record is from RNAcentral.